RNAcentral lists this unclassified non-coding RNA (61 nucleotides) under Mucilaginibacter sp. OK283. Its description in RNAcentral is "Flavo-1 RNA". The record is from RNAcentral. Lineage: Bacteria; Pseudomonadati; Bacteroidota; Sphingobacteriia; Sphingobacteriales; Sphingobacteriaceae.
GCGCAUUAGGGAUUGAAAUGGCAUCCUUCGACAGAAGAUAUAAUGGAAAGCCCGACCGAAG